RNAcentral lists this ribosomal RNA (292 nucleotides) under uncultured prokaryote. RNAcentral's name for it is "partial 16S ribosomal RNA". It matches the Rfam family "Bacterial small subunit ribosomal RNA", at positions 505 to 796 of the family's 1533-position model. The record is from RNAcentral.
GUAUCAGCCGCCGCGGUAAUACAGAGGGUGCAAGCGUUAAUCGGAAUUACUGGGCGUAAAGCGCGCGUAGGUGGUUUGUUAAGUUGAAUGUGAAAUCCCCGGGCUCAACCUGGGAACUGCAUCCAAAACUGGCAAGCUAGAGUAUGGUAGAGGGUGGUGGAAUUUCCUGUGUAGCGGUAAAAUGCGUAGAUAUAGGAAGGAACACCAGUGGCGAAGGCGACCACCUGGACUGAUACUGACACUGAGGUGCGAAAGCGUGGGGAGCAAACAGGAUUAGAAACCCGCGUAGUCC